Molecule: long non-coding RNA, 3029 nt
Organism: Carassius gibelio (silver crucian carp)
Lineage: Eukaryota; Metazoa; Chordata; Actinopteri; Cypriniformes; Cyprinidae
Exons: 2
Source: RefSeq, a predicted model, not a curated record
CUGUAUCAAGCGCAUUACUGAAACUGCUCGGACACAUUUAAGACACAAGUAAAGAUGAAGCCAAUAUCAUAAAUCAAUAAUUAAGACUUAUGCACAACACCAUCAAAAGUUCAAAUGAUUACAAAAUUACUGAAAAAAAUCAUAUUAAUGUUCCAUGAGGGCAGAACUUUGGCGAAACUACCUAAAAGAGCCACUUGGCUCUGUAGAUCCCAUAUCAGGCAACCAACAAUUAGAAAUAAAAUCGAAUAUGACCAAGGUAAUUUUCAAAUCAAAUUCGCAUUUUAUGUCGAAGUACCUUUUGAAAUACCAUUUGGCCUCUUUAAAUUAAAUAGCACUUACUAUUAAUUAACAGUUAGGCCGUGAACACAUCAUAUGCAUAACUCAAAAUGCAUAAUUCAUAGCUAGAACACUUGAUGAGCUCAUAUCUGUUACGCAAUGUGUGUCCCCUUUACUCACCAUAACUACAGUAGGCGUGAAGGCCUGUAUAACAAUAAUAUCCGACUGUAUUUCCUGAUAAUAAAUAACCACCUUGGAGAGCCAUAAAGCGGAGAAAAACGAGCAGAACCGAGCAACACCGAAACAUAGAAACUGACGACUGCGGCUGCGUCGCUUUCAUUUUGUCCACACAACAGCAAAGAUUAUUGAGCGACUCUUCUACUUUGUUUUUUAAAAUCGAUUUGUAUAAGAACACAUGUUCGAGACACAAAGGAUUUUAGAGCCACAUCACCAAACAUCCCGGAAACAGAAACGCAGCGCUGUGAUUGGACCGCGCAAGAGAGCGUGUGAAAACUACUGGUGACACAGUGAGCCGCAAAACUGUUCUGCAAGGGACCGUCCACAAAAAUAAAGCGUAGAAUCAAAGUAAAUUGAGUAUGAUUGUUUGCGAGAGAUAAUAGGAGCCAGAUACAACAUCAUGGUUCAAAACAGAAUGGGACGACAUGAUUUAAAGCUUAACAUGAUUAUUAAUUAUGGAAAACAGUUGGGACGCAGUCUUGUUCUUCUGGCACACUACACCACAGUGUUUGUAAGCUUUGUAUCUCGCUCUGUAAACUGUUUUUUGGAAGUGAUCAAGUGGAUGUUAGUGUUUGCCAGAUACACGGUGGCGGUAUUCGAUUCGAUGUAUAGGAGCCUACACUGGUGGACCAGAAGCCACAGAAGGACAUCCAUAGAGAUGCUCUCCAGCAGCGAAACAGAGUCAGACUGAUGGACAUAAAGUGCUUAUGAACUCCUGGAAAAAAUUCCAAGGAGAACAAUAUCAAUGCAUCGAUACAUGUAGAAGUUUGUAAUGUUUCUGUACUACGUUUUUUGUUUUUUUUUUGUUUGAGGUUUUGUUAAUUUCAAAGGGCUCAUCGAAGUCUAAAGGUCUAGGAAGAGUCCACCACUGUUAUAACCACACCUGACAGACUGAAGACUGAACACAACACCUGUUUUUCAGGUCUAAACCAGUUUUCUACCAGAAGAAAACAAUCAAGAAAAGUUGGUUAAGUUCAUAGAAUCUCGUUUUGCCUAACAGUUAAUCCUAAACAGCAUUGUUUUUACCCUAGUCUCAGCCUCAGAUGUCAUACCCACGGACCGUUGGCUAAACAUCUGAUGAAUAUGGGACACAAAAGUGUAAACACUUCAGGAGUGUCGAAGUCGUCAUCAGAUUGGUUAAAUUCUACAGGAUUUCCGCGAGAUGUGUGUCACGUUCUUUAACAUUCCACCUGGAAACAAAGAUACCGUGGCACCUCAUGAAAGAAGAAAGCCGUAUUGUUUACCACUGUGACGAUGAGCGCUUAUCAAGAUCAACUAAACACUUUAGUUUCAGAAGUGUGUGAAAUUGUUCAAGUUUGCGGCAUAUAAUCUUUAACAUAUGUCAGAGAGUUUUACACACUGGUCUGUUAUUGUGGCAACAUUUCCACACCCUGAAACGUGACACUGAAAUGAAACGAACUGUGAUUGGUUGUUUGACGUGUCGGUCAAACGGCCUCAUGGGUGGGCCUUGGCCAAUGAAAGCUGCCAUGGAUUUCAGACUUUUAGCCAUCAUCAGUCUAAAGGUCUGGCUACGCGAGACUAUUUUUACCCUAGCAAAUUCUGCUUUUUUUAUCCACUGAAUGUAGAUUAAUAGUCAGGGAGAAGAGCAAAAUUAUUACCAUUAGCACAUAUGCAUUUUUUACCAACUUUAUUUAAUGUCUGUGGUUGGAGCAAAUAUACAGUAUGUUGGGUAAAAGAAUAACCUUAAAUAAUCAUAGUAAAAUAUAUUUUGAAACAAGUGGGAAUUUGUAUCAUCAAUAGCAGACGAAACUCUUUGUGUGGGGUACAUUUCAAGGUUUCUCAGAAGUGAGCAGUGCUACUUCAGCACCACUGAUGUACCAUUAGAGUUUUAUUUGUAUUUAUUAAUAUAUUUUUAUAUUUUCUUUUGUUAUUUGGCUUUUUUUUUCAUUUCAGGCAAUGUUUAUUCAUUUAGCGUAAUAUUUGUUUAUUUUUAUGGUUUUAGUUAAUAAUAAUAACCCUGAGUUUGGUAAACUUCUAUAGUGGUGAAUGGGAGACAACAGCAAAUAUGAUUUUUGCAUUCCCAUUUGCUUCAAUAGCAAAAGAAAGAAAUUACAGUAGGGUUUCCUAUUGGCAGAUUUUGAUUGUGUGCCAGUAUCCUAUUUUAGGAAUGCGAGCUUUGAAUAUUGUCUAUAUUAUUACUUAUCCAAAACAUCAUAUUGACUAUUUCUCUGUAACGGAAAACAGUGUGUUCUGAGAACAAAGUACUGUCAUGCUCAACAAAAUGCAUUUUUCUUGUGGAAAUGUAUCUGGACACAUUUCAUUCCUGUUAUACUGUCUAUGAUAUGCAAGCUUUUGAUCUGUAAAACUAUCAUUACCAUUAUUGUUGAAUAAUUUAUGAAUUGUUAAAAUUUAUGAAUAUAAUAUGGAUGUGAUAUGUAAUUUGACAAUUAAAUGGAAACAAACUUUUUUUUUUCAUGUGAAGAAUGUGGAGGCUCCAAUUAUUUUUGGCAUUAUACAACAAAUUCUAAGAUACAUUAUAUAUAACUUUGCCACUA